GACAUAGGUCGCGAACGUUAUCCGGAAUUAUUGGGCGUAAAGGAUGCGUAGAUGGUUCGGUAAGUUACUGAUGGGAAAUCGAGGCCCAACCUCGUGGAAGUUAGUAAUACUGUCGAGCUUGAGUGCAGGAGAGGUUAACGGAACUUCAUGUGGAGCGGUAAAAUGCGCAGAUAUCAGGAGGAACACCGGUGGCGAAGGCGGGUCUCUGGGCCGAUACUGACGCUGAGGAGCGAAAGCGUGGGGAGCGAACAGG
This 253-nucleotide ribosomal RNA is filed under the name uncultured bacterium. RNAcentral's name for it is "partial 16S ribosomal RNA". It matches the Rfam family "Bacterial small subunit ribosomal RNA", at positions 524 to 776 of the family's 1533-position model. The record is from RNAcentral.